RNAcentral lists this ribosomal RNA (60 nucleotides) under Penicillium ochrochloron. RNAcentral describes it as "partial 28S ribosomal RNA". The record is from RNAcentral. Lineage: Eukaryota; Fungi; Ascomycota; Eurotiomycetes; Eurotiales; Aspergillaceae.
UUGACCUCGGAUCAGGUAGGGAUACCCGCUGAACUUAAGCAUAUCAAAAACGGGAGGAAA